ACUUAGCAAAACAAUUUCUGAAAUAAAGAUCAGUUCAAACCAUCACAUGACUGCCAAUUGCAUCUUCAUAUUCCAUCGAGGUUACUGCUUCUCUUGCUCCAGAUGUAAUGAAGCAAAGAGAGAUGCAGUCAGAUACACUUUCUUCUGUAUGUGAAACAUAUUUCCGGAUCUUAAGCUAUACAAUGCAGUCGUUAAUAUCUAGGUAACAUUCAAGUUUCACUCAGAGAUCAUGGUGAAGUACUAGUGAAAGCUUUGAAGAUAAUGUUGUGCGUAGCAUGACAUGCAAAAGGCAGCUGCAUUUAUUAAGCAUUUGGCUACUUCCUCAUUAUGUUUUGGAUCCGCAGAGUCGUUGGCAGGUAUCAGAAGCUUCUGAAAUCCUUUUAGUUAUGAAAAAUGCUAUCAUGAUUCGUACUGUUGUUUGACCAAGAACAUGUUAUGUAUGGACUAUCUACAGUCCUGGUCCCCGUAAACAUCUACUUGAUAUGCAGAAAUAUCAGCAAUAUGCCUCUGAUCCAAAAUUGAGUGACUCCCUUGCUUCUGUCCUUUGGGAACUUAAUCUUCUGUGGGAAGCAUUAUCAUCCAGAUGUCUCAACUAUGGCUGCUAGCAUAUCAAGCAUGAAUAGUACUCAAAAUCAAGUAUAUACAUCUCCACUGUUUCUCCCCAACAGGCAUGCAGAGACUUGUCAAUGGAACAGGAGUCUUUUAUCCCACAAUUUAACGUCAGGAAAGUUAACAAGAUGAAACUAGCUACGGAAUCUUCCCGGCAACAUGACUUGUUGCAGACCCUCCAAAUUUUUUGAUAUUUGUCAUAGUUCUAAAUUUGGGUUCAAUUGGUAUUCGCAGCAACAUGACUUCAGUUAAAACGUAUACGCAAGAAGCAGUCUUUGGAACUUGAGCUUGAGCAGGUGAAGAAGAAUUUUCAGCAGAUAGAUAUCUAUUUGUAUUUGUAGUUCAUGCUUCAUCCAUUGGAUCAAAAUAGAAAUUGAUAGAUAUUAUUGAUUGAGACUGUGUAGAUGACAACCAACCGAAAUAAAAGUCGUC
Cucurbita pepo subsp. pepo (vegetable marrow) is the source of this 1041-nucleotide long non-coding RNA. RefSeq lists it as uncharacterized. NCBI's taxonomy places the organism in Eukaryota, Viridiplantae, Streptophyta, Magnoliopsida, Cucurbitales, Cucurbitaceae. The record is from RefSeq and is a predicted model, not a curated record.